AGUGCUGGCGCAAGUCGUCUUGCGCCAGGCGACUGGGUCUGAGGAGGCAGGAGUUAUUCAUUCCCUUAAGCUUUCAGGCCGGGGGGAGAAUCUUUCAGGUGGUAGCUGCAAGAACUCUUAGUAUGUUGACCUCACCUCUGCCUUCCACAUACCACUACCAGUGAGGAAUUAGGAAUGCAUGAGAAGAGUGUCCAAGAAGAGUGUCCUCAUUCAUGCAAGGCUUAAGAGAGAAUGCAGGUCAACAUCACCAUGUCAAUCAGAGAAUACUUCUGUUGGGUUGAAUGACUCUCUGCCCCCAGUCUGACUGGUUGGAAGAGGCCCUUUUCCCAGCCUUUGUGAAAGAGAUCUUCAUGUAAACAGAGUCCCUCUUAUUGGCUGAAGUGAAGAGUCAUUCUGAGGCAUCUCAAGAUGAAGGUUUCCUAUUUGUGAUUAUGAAAAAAAUGUCAAGAACAAGUCCCUUGGUGUUCUUAGACCAAAGUCAGAACAACAGACCUACUGAAAUUAUUGUAUGACUCUGGAGGAAACCUCCAAUCAGGUCAGAUGCCCUGCUCAGGAUUUCGAUGAGUGUAUAAGCAACAAUAAUGAGCUAUGUUGACUUCCAAUACACUUUCAUGUUGUUUACAUUUUAUUAAAUGGUUUAAGCAGGGUCAUCAUAUAAAUGAUCAACAUAUUGACUAAAACACUCAAGCCUUGAAGAAUUGAAGGCCACAGACAGCCAACCAGAUUGGUCACCUUGAAUUUGAGUCAAUAGCAUAAAUAUAUAUUUGGCUACAGAGUCAAAGCCCACUUUAUAUUCAUUAUUCUGAAAACCCUGCUAAAUAAACAGCUCCAAAGUGUCCCAC
Long non-coding RNA from Homo sapiens (human), 842 nucleotides. Ensembl annotates it as long intergenic non-protein coding RNA 1524. Lineage: Eukaryota; Metazoa; Chordata; Mammalia; Primates; Hominidae. The record is from Ensembl.